RNAcentral lists this ribosomal RNA (240 nucleotides) under uncultured bacterium. RNAcentral describes it as "partial 16S ribosomal RNA". It matches the Rfam family "Bacterial small subunit ribosomal RNA", at positions 15 to 244 of the family's 1533-position model. The record is from RNAcentral.
GAUCCUGGCUCAGGAUGAACGCUAGCUACAGGCUUAACACAUGCAAGUCGAGGGGAAACGACAUCGAAAGCUUGCUUUUGAUGGGUGUCGACCGGCGCACGGGUGAGUAACGCGUAUCCAACCUGCCCACCACUUGGGGAUAACCUUGCGAAAGUAAGACUAAUACCCAAUGACGUCUCUAGAAGACAUCUGAAAGAGAUUAAAGAUUUAUCGGUGAUGGAUGGGGAUGCGUCUGAUUAG